This 109-nucleotide ribosomal RNA is filed under the name Salix viminalis (osier). Lineage: Eukaryota; Viridiplantae; Streptophyta; Magnoliopsida; Malpighiales; Salicaceae. The record is from RNAcentral.
GGGUGCGAUCAUACCAGCACUUCACCAUCAGAACUCCGCAGUUAAACGUGCUUGGGCGAGAGUAGUACUAGGAUGGGUGACCUCCUGGGAAGUCCUCGUGUUGCACCCC